This 24487-nucleotide long non-coding RNA is filed under the name Citrus sinensis (sweet orange). Its description in RNAcentral is "long non-coding RNA (CSIN_LNC001162)". Lineage: Eukaryota; Viridiplantae; Streptophyta; Magnoliopsida; Sapindales; Rutaceae. The record is from RNAcentral.
UCAAACCUUGCACCCACGACCCAACACUCGUUGGAUCACAUUUGCAAAUAUUCAUGCAUUUUCCGCAAAUGCAACUGAUAGGAGUCACUCAGUGUAAACAGGCGUUCAUGCUGUAAACAGGCAUUCAUGCAAGUUGGUCAAUGCACCACGGGCUACAAUACGACAAUAGGGGCCUCAAACCUUGCACCCACGACCCAACACUCGUUGGAUCACAUUUGCAAAUAUUCAUGCAUUUUCCGCAAAUGCAACUGAUAGGAGUCACUCAGUGUAAACAGGCGUUCAUGCUGUAAACAGGCAUUCAUGCAAGUUGGUCAAUGCACCACGGGCUACAAUACGACAAUAGGGGCCUCAAACCUUGCACCCACGACCCAACACUCGUUGGAUCACAUUUGCAAAUAUUCAUGCAUUUUCCGCAAAUGCAACUGAUAGGAGUCACUCAGUGUAAACAGGCGUUCAUGCUGUAAACAGGCAUUCAUGCAAGUUGGUCAAUGCACCACGGGCUACAAUACGACAAUAGGGGCCUCAAACCUUGCACCCACCACCCACCACUCGUUGGAUCACAUUUGCAACAUUCUUGCAUUUUCUGCAAAUGCAUCUGAUAGGUGUCACUCAGCUUAAACAGGCGUUCAUGCAAGUUGCCCGAUGCACCAUGGGCUAUAAGACAGUCACACUUCAUCUCACCAAACUCGAUCCCACCAAAUCGCUUCCUGUCUGCCACUGGCCGUCCGGUAAGGGGUUGGAAUGACCCAGUGUUUCGGAAUUUUACUUUGUCCUCAGACAUGUGAAUAAAUUGCUGGUAAAAUGUUAUCCAUGUAAAUAUGAGUGAACGAACCACUUAACCAGUUCGGCCAUCAUAAAGUCUCCCUGUUCCCCAUUUGGAAAAUCCAGCCCUUUCACGUAUGUACAGCAAAUGAAUGCUAUCCAGUCCAUGGGACACUCAAACAAACAAAACAGAAAGUAAUGCUUGAAUAUGAAAGUAAUUCCGCUGUUUCUGGCCCCAAUGCAAUUUAGCAACUGAGACACAAAACUGAAACAAAAUAGAAUCUAAAAGAUGACGAGCCAAAAGCUGGAUAAACAACGAAGUAGGGAAAAAAAAAAAAGAAAAACAAUUUGUUUAGGCACAGAACACUCUUGCAAUUUCAUGAUGCAUACUCAGCCACCAAAAUCCAAAUAAGAAAAUUUCUUAUUUGCUAUGACACACUGCAGUAAUAGCAUAAAAAUCCUGCUGUACCGUACAUCCGCCUUGGCCGUACAGCAGUAAAGCUUCAAGCCUUCUUUCUACCUUUGCAUUUUUUUUUAAUUCAUUUCCUCUAAUAUAUAAAAGUAAUUGCUAAUUUUCUGCUGUACCGUACAUCCGCCUUGGCCGUACAGCAGGUUACUUUCUCCCUCUUCAAUUUAUAUUUUAUUACUUUUUGUUGAAGAAAAAGAGAAAUGUGUUUUAAUUACUAUUGACUUUUCCUUUAAAAAAAUAGUUAUUUAUUUAAAAUAAAAUUAACUCAUUUCUAUUUGAAGAGUCUUUUGGAGAACAAUAUCUUUUUUCACUCAUCUAUUUGCCACAUAGGUAAGCAAAUGAAUAUUUGAAGAGUAAAAUUUAUAGAGCCUUUUGGAGAUGCUCUAAAAGAAACAGAAGAAUUAAGAGCAGAAUUAAAAAAUAAAGAAAAAGGAAAAGAAAAACUAGAAAUAAAAGAAACAACUCCUAGUGAUUCAGAUUAAUGGAAAACACAUUAGAAGAAUUAACUGAAAAAUUCAGUGAAAUAAACCUUAGUGAUUUAGAAGACUUUGAAAAAGAAUAUCAUAUAAAAAUGAAUACUUCUGGAGGACCAGAAUUGAAACCUGACAUAGGAGAACCAAGUCAUAGAUAUGCAACAAACAAAAAGAAAAAUAGACCAUUUUUUGAGUAUAUACCACCCGUUAAAAAUACUCCUUGGAAAAAAGAAUAUCAACCUAACAAUGAUAAUUUAACACCAAUAAGUAAUGCAGGAACAUUUUUAAAUCUAGACUGCAAAAUAAACCCCCAUAAGGUUUUAAUUGAAUGGGGAAUGCAAAUGUGAUUAUUUUUUCUAUAUAAUGGCUCUAAAGUCGAUUGGAAUGUAGAAACAGAAGAAGAAAAAAUAAAUUUAUUCGCUGACAUCCUCAUAGCCAGUUUUACAGGUAAUGUAUUUAACUGGUGGAAAGGAUUAAGUGAAGACACUCAAAGACUAAUAAAAGAUUCAACUAAAAUAGCUUUAGCCAGAAGUAGAGGAUUAGGAAUUGAAAGAAUAAUCGAAUAUAUUGCUAAUGAAUUCUUAGGAGAAAACUGGUUAGAAAAUACAGAAAGAGAAACAAAAAAUGAAAAAUUAGAGGCAAGGAUGAAAUUAAUAAACUUAACAAUUUGUAACAUGUGUUUCGUGAAAGAAUAUACCUGUGAAUUUAGUAAAUAUUAUUAUACACAAUUCUAUAGCCAAGAAGAUCAAAAUAUUUAUAAAAAUUUAUAUUAUUCCAAAUUACCAUAUCCCUGGAAUGGAUAUUUUAUAAAUGAGUAUGAGAAAAAUAGUACUGCUAAUAGAUCUCCAGACACAUUAGGAUCUAGAAUAAGGUUUUUGAAUACAAGAUUAAGUGAAAUAUGCAUUCAAAGAAAUUUAAUGAAAAAGAGUAAAAAUAUAGGAGAUACAUGUUGUGGAAAAACAGAAAUGCCAACCCAAUGGGGUUGUUAUACACCAUAUAAACGAAAAAGAAAGUUAUAUAAGAAAGAGAAAAAAUAUAAAAAAUACAAUAACUUUAAAAGAAAAUAUAGAAAACUGGAAAGAAAAUACUAUAAAAGAAAAUAUAAAAACCAAAAAAGAAAAUUAGAUAAAUCUAAAUGUAAAUGCUGGAAUUGUGGAGAAAUAGAACAUAUUAGCACAGAUUGUACAAAAAAGAAAGUAAGACUCUUAGAAGAAGAUUUUGAAAAUAUAAAAAAUGACUUAGAAGAAAUAAGUGAUAUAUCAGACUAUGAAGGAAAAGAAGUUUACAUGGUGAAAGAAUUAGAUGAUGAGUCAGAAUAAAGACGAAAUUAUAGAAAAUGAAAGAAUAGAAGAAAUAGAAGAAAUAGAAAAAGAAGAAAAUAAAAGUGGAUAUAGUCUUGUUGCCACUUUUAAUAAUGAAAAAUAUAAUAAACUUUUGAAAAUAAAUAUGGAAAAACCAGAAUAUGGAAUAAUACAUAAACUUAGAGAUAUGUUUAAAAGAAAAAGAAUAGUAUUACAUGAAUAUUAUGAACAAGAAAAAGUUGUUACAAUUACACAAGCUGAAGGAAAUAUCAGAUUCAGUUUAAUAAAUAAAAGAUCUAUAGAUUUAGCAUUAAGAAAGAUAAAAAAUGAAUCAACAAAAGAAAAAAUUCAAUAUGUAUAUCUAGCAGAAAUUCAAAUCUUAAUAAAAUCUCUUUUCAAAGAAGGCAUAGAUAGUCCCAUAGUAUUGUCACUACAUGAUCAAAGAUUUAAUGACCCUAGUACAGGACAUUUAGGAACAAUAGAAGGAAACUUAUGUUAUACUAAGUUAUUAUUCACAUGUCAUCCUAGAUAUUGUGUACAUAUAAAAGAUAAAAAUAUAGAUGAAACGCUAAGCUUACAUUUUAAACUACUAAAAAGAAACUUAAUGAAAGAAGGGAAUAGAAUAAUGACAAUACAUUAUUCUGCACUAUAUAGUUUUUGCAAUUCAAAUUACGGAGAAGUAUAUGGGAAUAAGCCUUACAUCGAAAUAAAUAAAGAAUGUGAAGAUAUAGCAACAUUCAUAGAACCAACAAUCCAGGAAUAUAAAAUUCCUAUAAACUAUGAGCUAAACAUAGAUGACAAAAAACAAUUUUUAGAUAUUGCUAACGAAAACUCCAUAAUCCCCAUAAGCUUUGCAGGAAGAACCUUAGUAAGAGGAGGUUCAUCUAGAAGGUUAAGUACUGAUAAACAAAUAACUAGAUCUAUAGUAACUAAUAACGUAAUAAAAAUAUUUGGACAAUAUUUUAAUGGAAUAGAUUAUACAACAAAAAUACCUAUAUUGGUAGAUACAGGUACAAGUCAUAAUUAUAUGAAUCACACAAAAAAUAAAGGACUCUUAAUAAAAGAAAAAGAAAUCCCGUAUCAAUAUACUGAUUUUAAUGGUAAUAAACAUAUUUGUAAACAAGAAGUUAAAGUCCCUAUAAUUAUAGAAGGAUUUAGAAUAAUAGUAUCUUGCUAUAUAGAUUCGUUCAUGACCACAGACCCAGAAAAACAUAUAGUACUAGGAAAUAGUUUUUUAAAUGAUUUAGAAUACUACAAAAUUGAAAAACAUAAAGUAACUCUACAAAUAGAAGGUAAAAAGAUAGUAUGUGAAACAUGUUAAAACAAGCUUAUAUAAAAUACCCUAUGUCCGUAUAUAUACAAAUAAACAUAACAGAAAAAGAUAUAGAUACAUGUGCCUUAAUAGACGGCAGUGAAAUAACGAUUAUGAAAUCCUUUCUAUCAAACCAAUGGAAACCAAACGAGAAAUUAAAAAUCAUUGGAAUAACAGGCGAUAAACAACAAGUAAACCAAUCUUUAAUAAACUUUGAAAUACUCUUAGGUAGUAAGAUAGUAUGUAUCAACCAAAUAUAUCAAUAUGAUGGUAUGGAUUGCGAUAUACUCCUAGGAAAUGACUUUAUACAAUAAUUCCAAUAUUAUCAACAAACUACCUAUAUGGUCACUUUAAAAACCCAUUGUAAUCAUAUUCUUCGCAUUCCUCGUGAAUUUAAACCUUAUCGAGUUCGGCCAGCCCAGCGUGGUGAUACAUUUAUUUAUGAAAAACAUUAUCUAAUACAAAAAGGACAGAGUUACAAUAUACAACUAGAAACAAUAAAAUCAUAGCUUGAACAAGUUUUGUCUCCCAGGUGGAUUAACUUGAGGAAGCUAAGAUUGCCAACAUAAGGAGACAAGGUACCUCCUAGACUUUGGUUCCUCAGAUACAACUCGGUUACCCUUUGAUGCCGACGACCACAAGUCACUCCUGUCCACUGGCAUAAGUUUACAGAAGUGUCCCACGAACUUGUUACUUCUAGUGGAUCAUGGAACUGUGACUUUAUAGCAAGUAAUGCUAGACGAUCUGUCUCGUUUGUGUGGACAGAAAAGCUGUGUGAACUAAGCAACAAACUGAAGCACCAUAUAAGAGUUGCAAGGCUGGUAGUGGUAAUAAAAAUGGAGCUAAACAUGUUUAGCGGCUGCAGGGUAUAAGAUAAUAAGACUAAUGAAAAGCGUGGCGUGAUCGUUUGAAGUUCAUGUGAAGGGUUUUUAAAGUCGAAAAAUGAGUGUACGGUAAAAUCUCUUUAUAGUCAUAAUAUGAAGAGUAAAUUAUUCUGCUGUACGGCCAAGGCGGAUGUACGGUACAGCAGUAUAGCUAUAUCAUAGUCUAUGUUGAUGACAUAUUAAUAGCAUCAGAAACAUUAGAAGACCAUAGAACCCAUUUAAAAGAAUUCGUUAACGUAUGUAUUAGAGAAGGUAUAGUAUUAUCAGAAAGAAAAGCAGUCAUAGAACAUAAAAAAUAAAAUUUUUAGGAAUGAUUCUUGAUAAAAAAAGGAAUAAGACUCCAAAGCCAUAUAGGAAAAAAGAUUACAGAAUUCCCAAAUAAAUUGGAAAAUAAACAACAAAUACAAAAAUUCUUAGGUUGUUUAAACUAUGCAGAAGGAUUCAUAAAAGACUUAGCAAAAAAGAGAAAUAUACUCCAGAAACUACUUAGAAAAAAUAAUACUAAAGGAUGGAACGAAGAACAUACGGAAACUGUAAUAAAUCUAAAAGAAGAAUGUAAAAACCUCCCAGCAUUAAGGUUACCAGAAGAAAAUGAUAAGUUAGUAAUACAAACUGAUGCAUCUGAUUUAUAUUGGGGAGCAAUACUUAAAACUGAUAUAAAUGAAAUUUGCUGAUAUACUAGUGGAACAUUUAAUCAAGCACAAGUUAAUUACCCAGUUCAUGAAAAAGAACUCCUUGCAAUAUAUAAAUGAAUAAAAAAGUUCUCGUUAUUUUUACUCCAGAAAUAAUUUAUUGUAGAAACAGAUAAUUCUCAGGUAAGUUCACUUAUUAGUAGAAUUUUGCCAAAUGAACCCCAAUACAGGCGACUGCAUAGAUGGCAAGCUUAUUUAUCUUAUUAUAAUUUCAAAAUCAUACAUAUAAAAGGAACUAACAAUUUUCUUGCAGAUUUCCUAAGCAGGAACAUAGAAUUCAGAGAAUGAAUGCAGAAGUAAAUAAAAUCAUUUCUGUAAUAAACACAGAAAUACAAAGGCUCAAAGCUGAAGCAUCAGACAUGCUUGAUGCCAUAAAUUACAUAAAAGAAGCCACAGAGGCUCAUGAGAAGGGAAUACAUUUGUUAGAGUCAUACAUAAACGACCUAACAAAAGGGCUUUCAAUAAACACUAGCCCAAUAGAGAUAGGAAGUAGUAGUGGACCACUCCCACAACAAGAACCAGUCUCUGACCCAUCAUCCAGCCGAACCAUAUCCAUAAGUGUUGAAUCACCUAAAGCAACUUCUUCAAAAAAGUUUAUCAAAAUAAACAACACUCCCUCAGAAGAAGAAGAAAAACCUUCUCCACUAAAUCCAAGAGAAGAAGAGUAUAAACAGUUCUCCACAUGGGUAUACUCUACAUGUACCCACAACAACACCAUUUUCAAAGCCCCUGGCAAAAAUAUAUAUCCCAGAAUGAUAGCCAUAAAAGGAGCAGAUCCUCUCCUUAUUGGAAAAAUAGCAAAAUACGGAUAUCUAGAUUUAAUAUAUCCAGAUACAGACCUAAGAGAAAUAGCCAGUUUAGAUGAGCUAUUAGUCAAAGAAGUCUCAAAAUUUGCCCAAAAAAGGCCCAUAUACUUAAAAUUUUACACUAUUAGCCCAGAAUACCACCAAAAUGUCGAAUACCAAGCAUUUUACAUGAUCUCUGUAGGCCACCUCACAAAAAAUUUUCAGAUAGAAGUAGGAACUGAAUAUACAAAUGUUCCUCAAAUAACCAAAGCAUGGAUCAGAACCCGUAGAGCCCGAGGAAUAAAAGCAAUAUGGAGUAUUGCAAAAGACCUUUAUAAAAGAAACUUUAGAACAAUCAUCCGAUUCCAAAAUUAUAUCCUCGUAACUUCUGAAGAUAGCCAUACACCAUCAAAUAUCUUCUUGGAACUCAUGAACGAAAUCAGCACCAUGAGAUUCCCCAACAGUAGUGAGACCAUGCAGCAAGCUUAUCAGCUUAUGGAGAUGAAGAUGCCCGACAAAUAAAGUUGUUCGUGGCAGACAAAGAAGAUAUGUGGCAGACAAGAAGAUAAAAAGAAGAUAAAAAAGUUGUACGUGGCAGACAAGAAGAUGCUCGUGAUAAAAAACAGAGAAAAAGAAGAUGCUCGUAAAAAGCAAGAAGACAAGAAGACAAGAAUUCAAGAACCUCUUGUAAUGAUAGAGUGAUGAUGUAAGCAGUGUGAUCAGAAAGCAAUAAUGUAAAUCAAUAAUGGGAUCAUCUUUUCUAAUAUAAAUAGAAAGAGAAGGAGAAAGCAGAAAAAGCUUUCGAAGACAUUCGAUAACUCUCGAUCCAAAAAAUUCUCUGAAAAAGAAUGAAGCUCUAAACACUCUCUUGCUCGAAAUCCAAAAUCAGUACAUCAUAAACCAAAAACAAAAACCAUUAGAGAAAGAGACGAGAAACCUAACUUCACUCAAUACCUCUUUAACAAGAAGAUCGAAAUCUAUACAGUAAAGCCAUCUGAGUCCACAGAUCCCGCUGAGGCAGGAGGCCGUUAAGGGAACAGGACAACCAGGCUGCAGGUCACUGGAAGGAGAUCAGAAAUCAAAGAAGUAACAGUGAGCUAGGUAAUAAUACUCAACUCUUAUCUCUUGGUGGUGGUUGUUGAUGGUGGUUGAUGGAAUGAUUUUUGGAGAAAGAGCAGAUUCUUAAACUGAAGCAGAUCUGUAAUUAAUUUUAUGACAUGAAUCACAAAAUUUACUUAGGAGAAUCUAAAGAAUACAUGAUAAACCCAACUACUAAAAUAACUUAUAAUGAGUACAUGAUGAUAAUAGACUUCGAUUUAGGUUCAUUUAAACAAAGUUCUUAUCUAUUCAGUAAACAAGAACUUGUUAGAACAGAAGACCUAUUAGCCAUAGACCUUCUUAAGUUACCCCAAGAAAUAAAAAGAAAAAUUAUAAAUAACAUUGAAACAGAUAACCUAAAACAUAACAUAAUUAUGUUGACAAUAGAAGAAGGAAUAGAUGUAGCAAAAGCCUAUUUAGAGCAAAAAACUUAUGAAUCUGGACCUUCAUAUAUCUAUGAUUCAGAUAACGAAGAAUUUGAAAUAUAACUGUGAAAGGUAUAUAGGCUGGGAACCUCUUCGGGUUGCGGACUACUAGUCCAAAGGGCGACCUGGAUCGCUGUACCUAGAGGUAAAACAACGCCACGUACUUUUCUAAUAAAAAUUUAGGACAGAUAAAGAUAGAUAAACAUCAAUUUGAUAAUUAUAAUCAAUAAUAAUCCUGAAUGGUUGAUUUUGUUUUACUGCUCUUGUAAUUUUAUUUUGAAUAUAUUUGUCUAGUCUUGUCAUAUUUUUAUAAUUCUGUUUGUACUUUUGUAUUUGUAAUUUUGUAAUUUUAUUUGUAUUUUUGUAAUUUGUAUUUUUGUUUGAAUUUGUAAUUUCGUAUUUUUGUUUUAAAUACACACCUGAAAAUGGUAUCAGAGCCAGCAGAAUCAUAAGACAUGGACCCUAUACAAGCAAUAGUAGAUAGCUUAUAUACAUUAAAGGUAUAUAAUAAAGAAGAAAUAAAAAAUUUAAUAAAGGCCAUCAAAACUGACAAAAAUAAUAUAAGAAAUAUAGAACUUGAGUUAACUCAGGAGCUUAGAGAAAGAUUUAUAGAAACAACAGGAGGAGAAAUUUUAAUAGAAAAGAAAAUGAAAUUUAUAGAUAAAUUUAUAAAGUUUUUAAUAUAUUGGUGUAAAACAGAAACAUUAUGAAUCAACAGGCUGUUAAUGUAAUACAGGGAUUGGCAAGCUGCAUAGAUCACCUACUCUUAGGAUGGGAAAAUACAGUAAAUGCAUAUAUAAAUCUAAUAAACCAAAAAAUAGAUUUAUUAGAACAAGAAAGGAUAGGACUGGUAAAUUUAGGACCAGAGGUCUAUUAUGAAUUUGUAGAUUUAUAUGAAUUUGAUAACCAUAUAUUGCUGUUUAAAGAAAUAAAAUAAAGUUCUCGAAAGAUUAAAAAAUAGAUGUGCAGGGAUGGAAGAAGACAAAUACAUCCAGGAUUAUAAAAAUUGGAAAUAGAAAGAAUUAUAAGAAUCCUUAUGAAAUUAACCAGGAGAAUAAGACAAAAUUAUAAGAUACAAUCAACGUAAGUUAGAGGCCCCCACUUUUAAUAAUCCAAUCAUAUACAGUGACUUUAAUAUAAAUGCAUAAUAUUUUACCAAAAAAAAGGGAAAAAAUCGAAUUAGAGGUAAAAGUUAUUCUACGAUUUUAUUUUUUGUAUAUAUCUUGCAUGCUAUUCCCAAAAGCAAUCAUAAACGGCCCUUAAAACAAUUUUACAAAAGCGGCUGUUACUUAUAUCACCAACUUUGUUAGGGAUGACAAUGGGGAGGGGAGAGGAGGAGACCAAUCUUGUAGUAUCUAUCCCUGAUAUUUUGCGUAUAUUCUCGUUCUCUCUCCAUCCCCGACAAAAUUACUUUAGGGAAUCACCUCCUCUCCCUGAAUAAUAAUAUGGGAUCUCCGUGGGUCAUUGAUCCCUGAAUAACUGAUAUGUUUUUAGUUUUUUAUUUUAAUUUAAUCAUAUUAAAAUAAAAAUUUAAAUAAAAAUAAAGUUUGAUGAUAUAUCUCACAUUAGCAUUAAUCCAUUACAAAAGUCACAUUACAAAGUAUAAAUCACCACAAUAAUUAUCUUCGUCAAUUUUCAAAAUCCUACAAUAAAAAAAAAAAGAAAUUACUUUUAUAUCAACAAUGAAAUAAAUAAAAUAAAUAUAAAUAAAUACUUAAUCAAUAUUUCUAAUAAAAGUAUUUACCUCUUGCGUCUCUUGCUCCUCUUGUUCUUCCUCGAUGAAUGUGGCAAAUUGAAAGAUAGCCUCAGAUUUCAAAUUUAAAACAAUAAAAAUAAUAGAAGUAAUGUAACUUAUAAGCGAAAAUAUUAAUUAUUAUAUAAUAUAAUUACAAUGUAAAAUAAACUCAUACUGCCAUUUUAAGCUUGUAGCUUAUUUUGACAACACAUUAAAUCCUCCAAUGUGCUUGAAUGAAGCGUGUUACGAUACUCUACUAAUGGUGUUAAAAGUUGAUUCAGAAGCAACAGUUGUAAUUGGAAUUGUCAAAAUAUCUCUAGCAAUUCGUGCCAAUAUAUGAUACCUAUGGACAUUUGUUUUUAACCAACUCAAAAUAUUAAAAUCUUUCAUCUGUAGCAUAACUUUCUCAUCCAAAUAUUAAUGCAGUCAAUUAGGCCUAAAAGUUUAAUAAUAUAAUUAUUUUGAUAUUUUUUAUUUAUACUAAUAUUUAAUAUUUUAUAAUUUACAUUUUAUUAUUUAUUUACAAAUAAUUUAUAAAAUUAAAAUUAAAAUUAAAAUCAAUAAAUUAGGAGGGGAUGAGGAUUCUACUGUAUCCUCAUCCCUUUCUCGAAUAAGAAAUUGGGUAAAAAAUUAUUCUCGUCCCUUCCUUGAAUAAGAAAUUGGAUAAAAAAUUAUCUCUUUACCCUCUCCGAAUGGAGAAAAAUUCCGAGAAUCCCUAUCCCUGCGGGGAUUUCUGCCACCCCUAAACUUUGCAACAGCCAGUUGCUUUUGUGACCAUUUAUGUGACGGAUAGACUGCUCUCACUUAUGUUACUAAUAAGCUUGGCAAAAUCAGGGUCCGGUCCGGGCUUCUAAGCCCGCAUGUGAUAACUUUAAUUUUUUUCUUCAAUUUUUUCUUUCAUUUCUCUAACAAUGCAAAUUUUAAAAAAGAAAAUAGUCAAAUAAAUUCAUUCAAUCUCAAGCUUUAGAAAAGAAAAUAGUCAAAUAUAAAUAUAUAACAUACUAACAAUGCAAAUUUUACACAAAUAAUAAAUAAAAAUUGUUUCAAUCUACUUUAUAAUACCUAAAUUCAUCUAAUUUCUAACCUAAACUCAUUCAAUCUAUAUAAAAAUAAAAUAAAUUCAACAACACAAUAGUCACACAAUAAAUCUAAAUAACAUCCAACAUAUCAUAAAAUUCAUAAUUAUAUAUUUAUAUAUAAUAUAUUUAUAUAUUUUUUUUAAUUUAUUAAGAAAUCGGGUCUGAGUCUAGCUUCCUGGUUUUUGGUGUUGAGAAUUUCAAAUCCGGGUCUGGUUUUUUGUGUAUGCGGUCCGGGUUUUACCCGACUGGAUUGCCUGGGUUCGGUUCGGACGAGCUUUUUUGACGCCCUUACUAACGGGCUUUUUUGACGCCCUUACUAACCACGUGACGGUAGAGAGCCAAUUGGCAUGCUAUUAGUUUAGAGUUAUAAAUUGGAAAAUGAGACUCUUAGAGCAUCACCAAAAGGCUCUUCAAAUAAGAUUUUAUUACUUAUUUGAAGGGCCACAUUAAUAUUUAAAGCUCCAAAAGACACUUCAAUUAAAAUUCUUCAAAUAAGAAUUGAUUCUCUCUCUUCAAAUUUGGAGAGUUAAUUUCUCCCUCUUCAAUUUGUAUUUUAUUACUUUUUAUUGAAGAAAAAGAGAGAAAUACUUUAAUUGUUAUUGACUUUUCCUUUAAAAAAAUAAUUAUUUGAUUAAAAUAAUAUUAAUUUAUUUUCAUUUGAAGAGUUUUUUGGAGAAUAUUAUAUUUUUUUACCCUUCUAUUUACCACAUAAGUAAGUAAAUAGAUAUUUAAAGAGUAAAAUUUAGAGAGACUUUCGGAGAUGCUCUUACAACAUUAAGCACAACACAUAGCACCGAACGGUGCGUUUAAAGGCAACUAUAAAAGGUCACAGUAAUCGACAAUUGCAACACACACGUUCUCAACUACAGCACACGCUCUCUCCCUCACAUUCUUCCUCACGCUCUCUCUGUUCUCCCUCACAACACACGGCUCUCUCUCUCCCCCCUCCAAAUCCAACAGCCGUGGGUUACUCUCGCUCUUCGCCCUCCAAAUCCAAGACCUAUGGAUGCAUAAUAGAGUAAAUAGCAAUUCCCAUCCACUCUAGUAACAGAAAAUGACAGCUUCUGUGAUUGUGGUGAAAAGUUUCCCCUAGUAAUGCUAAGUACAGCGAGGAAACCAGCAAGGAAACCAUCAAUUCUGUACACAUAUAGAUGCCAAAAGCAAGCAGUGAAUUGCAUCAGAUAUUAGUGAAGAAUAAUUACCAGCCGUAAACUCAGCUCCUUCGGUUGCUAGUGUACAAUAGAGCAAUAGGUUGUGUUUGGGGAUGUUAGAUGUCGAAAUAAUUGAGGCAAAAUUCUUUUAUGCAAUAGUUGGCUUGUGUCGACUUUUGAAAGGAAACUUAUUUUUGUGCUGUCAAUGUUACUUAUUUGUUAGUUUAUUUCUUAGGUUUUGUUGUUCGGGAUAUUAUGUAUUGGAUUUCAUUUCCUUUUGCCUCUGGUAUGGCCCCUAAUAGAACUUGACGUAAUUCUUUUUGGGAUAUGUUUUUUUGAACUAGAGAUGACAUCACUAGCAUCUGGUCUUUCUCUUUGAGACAGCCGAGAGAGUGAGGUGCCGUGAGAGAUGCAAUCGAUGGGGGGUGGAGAGAGGUAGCCGACAGUGAGAAUGGUAAGGAAGAACGGAGCGUAGUGAGAUUAGUGGAUUGGUGAGGAAGAGCGUGAGGGAGAGAAUGAGAGAGCAUGUGUUGUGGUUGAGAAUGUUGCAAUUGAGAAUUUACUGUGACCUUUUAUGCUUGCCUCAAAACUCACCGUUUUGUGCUAACUGUUGUACUCAAUGUUGUAAGAAUAUCGGAACUGUUAUAAAUUUGUUUCUAAAUAGAAAACUCUUUUGUGGAGUCAAUAUUUUGAAAACCAAAGUCUCGAGUUCUUUCUCGUGCGUGCCUGGCCAGCAUCCUAAACCUUACUGGUAGCCGGAGAAUGGCGUAAAACGGCGGCGAUCUUCUUCUUCAUCUUAUUCUCUCUGUCAUCGUUUCAGGUAACCUUGUGAUUAUGAGUUUCUUCUCUUUCUUAGCUUGCAAAAAUAGGUUUUGAUUUCUUUAAUUCGUAUUGUAGCCAUUAAUAUCAAAUUUUGUCCUGCCGGCAAUAUUUUUUUGUUCCUAGAGGUUGAAGCCCUUCUGUUCUUGUUCCAUUGGUGACUUUGCUCACUCAAAUUAAUUUUGUUCUGCAGAAUUUACAAAGUUCAAAUGGAUUCGUUUGGAUUACUAUUGAAUUUAGCUUUCAUUUCAACAUUCAUUCUAAUGUUUUACAAUUAUGUAUUUAGAUUUACUUUAAUUUUAUGUUUAAAGCUUCUGCAAUGAAUAGCUGAGCUUGGGUCUUAGUUUCAUUUUCUAAUUAACUUGUUUUAGUUUAUCUUAUAUGCUCACCAAGUGCUUGUUAUAUUGUCUGAUAGGUUAUAUAACAUAGCUGAUUAUAUAAUAAUAAUGUCAUGUUCCAUUUUCAGAAAUUAUAAUAUAAAAGUUUUUACAAUGGGGUGCAUCUACAAACUGAAUUGACUUGUAGAGUAAGAGCUUGGAGUAGUGUGCAUUCUUGAAUAAAUGAAAGUUCAUAUUGUGUAAGAGCAUGUAGAUGUAAAGCAUCAUUACCAUUUCUACCAAGUGCUUUCAUUCUGUUCAGAUGCUCCUCUUGAACUUUGGAAGGUGCCUCAUUCAAGUCCUAGCUAUAACUAAUUGCUCUGAUUAAUUAAGUUCAUAUGCUAGCUGAAACAGAUUUAAUUAAUUAAUUAAUUAAUUGUGUAUGUACUAAUUAUAUUGAAAGUAUAUGAAGAAAUUGUUUAACAUGAAUGACUUCUAAAUGACUUAAAAGCCUAGAGGAUAUGUGAAAUAAUGCUCAUUUCACUUGAACGAGCCUAUUAAUACUUGUAUGUCUAUGAUUGUCAAUAUUGCUUAAGUGUUUCAGUUAAGUGGUUUACCUAGCAGGGAAAAAAAUUUAAUGGAAAACCUUAGAGUUUUAAUAGAAAUAUAGUUGACUAUGCAGAUAUAGUUAUUUUACGGUAUAUAAAUCAUGUUGUCCUAUUCUCAAUGUCCUACAACCUAUUUUAUUUUAUAUAGUCAUUCAUUUUACGAUGGUUUUUUGUGUUUAUGAGUAUGGAAAUAGUGGGAUUUGGUGUACCUUAGCAUCUUUCGAAAAUUCUCUUUAAAUGCGGCAAACAGAAAUAUACAUAUAAUCAAGUUUCUUAAUCAUGUAUAUUAGGUUUGGGUGUGAAUGUUUUCCUAUUCUAGUUCUAGGCAAAGUUUCUUCAUUUUGGUCUUCAGAUUUCCAGUAGGUUAAGCUAAUCAACUAUCAUAACUGGCUAGCUAGUUAUUGCCUGCCUUGUCGCCAUUACCGACGCCAUUACAUUGCAUGGCAUAGGGAAUAGUAACUAUGUGAUUAUUGGUGAUUUGUUGAGCUUAUUAUUGACCAAACAAACAUAUUCGCCUUUACCCACAACUUGGUUUGAUUAGUUACUGGACAAUAAAGAGCCUUAAUCUAUGCAUUGGCUUUCUUAUUUUUAUUUGGUUUUUCUUUCAACAAUAUUGUUGAUUUCUUAUAUCAUUGGCUAUUUAAUGAAGCUAAUUAAAACUAAGGCUUCGGAUCACUUUCUUCUAACAACAAACAAAUGAGGAUAACCUAUCUCCUCUAAGCAAAUUUUUCUAAUAUCCUUGAUUUGUUAGGACCUGGAGGCCUGAAAUCCUCUAGAUUUUUUUAGCACUGCCAAUGUUCCUUUUAUUCUGAAAAGGAAAAAAAGGUUAUAUCGUUUAUACCCUAACAGUAAAAUGGCCUUUGACUUAACAUGCCUUCCUGAGGAUUUGCAAGAUUCACAAGCAGCCUAGCCACCCCCCAACGCAAAAAAAAUAAAAAAAAUAAAAAACUAAUAAAAAUAAAAAAUAAAACAACCCAAAUAGGAAGACUUUGCAACAUUCACAACGUGGUUACAUUUAAGUUAUUAAUUGUGUGUGUGUGUACUAGUUAUAUGUUGAUAGUAUAGGAAGAAGUAUUUUAACAUGGAUGACUUAAAACUUAUUGCUCAGUAAACAUAGUCUGCAUCAGUGCUAGAAAAUGUAUUUAUUGUUUGUAUUUUUUAUGGUUUUGAUUAAGAAAUGAAAUGUGAAAAAAUGCUACAUUGUAUUAGGAAUAAAUUGAAGAGAUUUAUGAUUUUUAUGUGUUAUUCAAGUUUCAGAUUCAAUUUUAAACUUUUGAUACAUGCAUUGAAAGCUUAAACUCCUUUAAGAAGUUAUUGAUAGACACAUGUUUUAUUAGUGUCAUCUUUGGAUGAUAGUGAGGAUCUUAUGUCUAUUAAUAAUUCUUGAAUUAUCUAGGCUUGGACAGUUUGGUAAUGCAUAGAUUUCUAUGGUAGCUAGUGCCUGAAAUUUUUUUCCCACGUAAAAAUGGGUUUUUCAGCAGCUGCUCCUCAUGUUCUCUGGGUGCAUACUAGACAAAUGGGUGUCAUGUGUUGUUUUGGCAUAACACAUAAACACUCAUAUAUCUAUGUCGUGUACUUGAAGAACUAUAGGGAGAUGCUUCCGAAAUUUCUAUAAACGUAGAGGAAAACUUUAGAUACUUAAGAUUGAAGAAACUUAUGCAUUCUUGAGUGGGAUAUAGAGGACCACUUACCUUUUGUAAUAUGAAGGGAAUGUUGGAUAUAUUGAUGGGAGUGGAGGAGCUGAGUGGGAUGAAUGUAAUCGGUUAUGAUUUUGCUGAGUUGACUUGGUUUUGAGUCUUGUAAUUUUGUUUAUAAAUGGAGUACUAUCUCCAAUGUUGGUUUAUAAAUAUUGUUUCAGCUGGCUGACCUAAUUUUUUAUUUCUAGGUAACAGGCUUUAUAUAUUCGUAAUUGAUAGCCAAGUGAAGUUCUCAGCAGUGGGUGAGGAUAUUUCUUUACAGAAGGUAUUGGAAACUGUUUUUCACAUUAAUUAGUAUUGUAUACAUACUUUAAUUUCACAUCUUUUUCUCUGAUUCUUGUGGCUUUGCUUGCUUUCAUAUAUAUAAACAUUCUAAUGAGAUUAACAUAAAAUUGUAUAAUGAUUUUUUUUAAUUAUAAAUUGCGCGCACACGAAAAUAUCUUGUUUAGUAGUAGAAAUGAAGAACUAAAAUGAUUUAUUUAACUAAUUUUUCUAGUGCAUUAAAAGGAGAUAGUCAUGGACAAGAGUUGGGUUGGUUUGCCAAAUAGAUAUCCAAGUCAUAUACUGAUGGGGUUGAAAAAUUUAUAGAUUUUGCAUUUGAGAAUGUUGUUGGUGAUAAAAGAAUUUAUUGUCCUUGUAAGAAGUGUCGUAAUAUCGAUAUUUCAUUAUAAGGGAAGUGGCAAGAGACCAUAUCAUUACAAAUGGCUUUUGGUUAAAGUAUUGAAACUGGAUAUUGCAGGGUGAGCCAUCUUCAUCUUUGAAAUCUAACUAAGAAACAGGUUAGUCAUGACUCGGGUGCUGAUGAUAGUAUGGUUGGAGUGAUACACGAUGCAUCACAUAAUCAAGUGUUCAAGUUACACACAGCAUUGUUAUGUUAUGGACUAUCAGUGACUUUCUAACAUAUGCCAACUUGUUUGGGUAGAGUAUUAAAGGUAAAUAAGCAUUUCUUGUUUGCCAACAAAACACUAGAUCUAAUUGGUUGAUACAUAAUAGAAAAUUUUGUUACUGGGUUACGGUCGAUUCUUACCAACGAAUCAUAGGUUUCGAAAAUAUAGUGUCUUUUGAUAAAACUAGGGGGUAGGGAUAAGCGCCUUCUCGGUUGUCUUGAACUGACGUGAAAAAGCAGGUGAAUAAUAUAUUUACUAAGUAUAAGAUUGAAGACUUGAAAAGAGGAGAAUGAAUAAAAUGAAAGAAAUGAUAAGAUUACUUGGAAGAAGAAAAGCAUUUUUUAUGAACUAACGUAUUGGGAGUUCAACUUGAUUCAUCAUAAUCUUGAUGUCAUGCAUAUGAUCUACUUUCUUUCAUUUUCUCACCUCCCAAACAUCCAUUAUACAAUAAAGUUUUUUUAGAUUUUAUUGUUUCAUAGAAUUAUAUUUUGCAUAUGAUGAAAUAACUUAACAUUUUAGUAUUCAUUUGCAUAUAAUAAUUAUAAGUAAGAAAAAAUAACCAACUUUUUAACAGCUGCUGUACCGUACAUCCGCCUUGGCCGUACAGCAGCAUUACAAAUGGCUUUUGGUUAAAGUAUUGAAACUGGAUAUUGCAGGGUGAGCCAUCUUCAUCUUUGAAAUCUAACUAAGAAACAGGUUAGUCAUGACUCGGGUGCUGAUGAUAGUAUGGUUGGAGUGAUACACGAUGCAUCACAUAAUCAAGUGUUCAAGUUACACACAGCAUUGUUAUGUUAUGGACUAUCAGUGACUUUCUAACAUAUGCCAACUUGUUUGGGUAGAGUAUUAAAGGUAAAUAAGCAUUUCUUGUUUGCCAACAAAACACUAGAUCUAAUUGGUUGAUACAUAAUAGAAAAUUUUGUUACUGGGUUACGGUCGAUUCUUACCAACGAAUCAUAGGUUUCGAAAAUAUAGUGUCUUUUGAUAAAACUAGGGGGUAGGGAUAAGCGCCUUCUCGGUUGUCUUGAACUGACGUGAAAAAGCAGGUGAAUAAUAUAUUUACUAAGUAUAAGAUUGAAGACUUGAAAAGAGGAGAAUGAAUAAAAUGAAAGAAAUGAUAAGAUUACUUGGAAGAAGAAAAGCAUUUUUUAUGAACUAACGUAUUGGGAGUUCAACUUGAUUCAUCAUAAUCUUGAUGUCAUGCAUAUGAUCUACUUUCUUUCAUUUUCUCACCUCCCAAACAUCCAUUAUACAAUAAAGUUUUUUUAGAUUUUAUUGUUUCAUAGAAUUAUAUUUUGCAUAUGAUGAAAUAACUUAACAUUUUAGUAUUCAUUUGCAUAUAAUAAUUAUAAGUAAGAAAAAAUAUUUGUUUACAAUCACUACUAGUUUUAUUGUCGUGAUUACAAAUAAAUUGCUCAAAUUUUCUGCUUCAGCUAUCAAACCUUUUAGCUGCUUCCAGACAUGAAGAAAUUAAACCCAUAAUUUCUAGGUACAAUUGCAUUCGUAUAUGCCAUGAUACAUAUGAUAUGAUUAGAACCAAAAGGAGAAAUAAAUUUUUGGGACUUAUUGUGAUGGUGAUUAAUCUUUUUCUACCUUAACUUUGAUAAGGUUAUAAUUAAAUUUUAUAUGAUUAAAGUGGUCAAUGGUUAAAUAAAUAAAUAAAUAAAACAGAUGAGGAUGGACUAAUGAAAUGACCCACCCCGAACUCCACAAGGUGAGUCUAUGUAAUAUCGUCUUACUUGACUGAUAAUAAUCUAAUUAGUAAGGAUUUUGCCGAAAAUUUGAUAGAGUCUCCACUUUGAAUAUAACAUUUCCAACUUGCAAAUGUGUAAAACAAGCACUCUCAAAUAAAUCAGUAUACAACCAACUUCAUUGAUCAACCUCCUCAACUAUAUUAUUGAAUAUUACCCAAAAUAUCUACAAAGUAUCAAAAGAUUAUAUUAUACCUACUGUUGACAUAUAUUAAGCUAUUUUUAAUCACAAAAAAUAUUAAAAAAUUAUAUAAUCCAAAAAAUAAGAAAUCAAAAUGCCCUGACAAUAUAAUCUAUAUCUCCUAGUACCAUCACAUGGCCAAAUUUCAAAAUACUAUAGUUGCUAAGUCAACUGGUGUCUUGCAACCUCCUGAGGGGUGGGAGGGAAUUAUAAUAAAACGGGUGAGUAUAAAACUCAGUGAGCUUGGUGAGUGGAUAAUAGUUUUUGAAAAUAACUUACCAUAAAUAAUUAUACCACUUUUAUAUAUGAUUUUAUCAAACUAUAUGUAAGAAACAUGAAUAAAUUAUUUAACCUUUGAAUCAAGUAAUUGACAUUGAAAAGAAUACAUUAAGAGGUGCAUAAUAAUCAUGGAAAUUGUAUCACAAUAUAAAAUACAUGAUUAUGAAAUUAUCACAAAACAAGUACCUAAGGGAAUAAUCUUGUCGUACCUAGAGCUCAUACGGGCAAUGCAAUGACAUAUUCUCUAGGUACUGUCAUCCUCGGAGCUAGCACCGGUAGAUCAAUGAAGUGUCAUCUUAUAUAUCUUAUCAUAUCUUUGCAUGCAUAAACUAGUCCCCAAAAGACAAAGGUGUCCAAGCACAUAAUCCAAGGCCUCUAUGAGCCCCAAAGGCCCUUAUUUCAUUUGUAUCUUAGUAACUGAAUCUUUGUUAUCAUCAUAUUUCAUGCAUAAGCGCCCAAAAGGCAAAAGUGCCUAAAUAGACGGCCCAAAGCCUCCCUGUGUGUUCAGACGGGCCCCAAAGUCCUCUCAUCUCAUCUGUAUAAUUGUAAUUGGAGGGGAAGGGCAUUGUUCAACGAGUUUGAGAACAAACUUAUAUAUAUACACACAUAAACAUUUUAAUCAUACUUUAAACUCUUAUUUCCUUUUCAUUACAUACUUUAAAUUUGAUUUUCUUUUCUUUAUAUUACUCUCAUGUAUAUACUCAAAAUCGGUAAUAAAACCAAUAAUCAUACUUUUUAAUAAUAAAUAUCAAUACUUAAAUAAAACCUAUUUCUAGAAAAUCAUUAGAUCGGAGCAUUAAACACUUAUUUCCCAAACAUGCUUUACUAUACUUUAAAAUCAUAAUAAAAUAUGAAAAAUAGGUUUUGCCUAUUUCACUCACCGUGACGAUACUCAAACUCGGCUAUCAUUAAUGUCUGCAGGAUGGGUCUCACUCACUAUUCCUCCUAAAUCAAGGAUACGACAUAAUUACUUUCCAUAAAUGUGAAAUACAACUAACUGUAUGUAAUAUACUCGAAACGAACAUCUAUCCACAAUAUGCUACUCCUAUGUCUGUAACGUUACCAAAAAUACCCCCAAAAUCAUAAAUUGUCAAACAACCCUCAAAAUCAUAAAUUACCAAACUAUCCUCUAUAAAAUAUUAUUAAAAUAUCCACAAAGUCAGAAAUUAAAAAAUUACCAUCAAAAUAUAAAUUUAUCAAAAUGCCUUUGUUGGUCAAUGGUGAUCGGGAGUCAAGUGAUGGUGGUUGGAAUGGUCAAGAUAAAUGCUUUGGACCACGCUGAAUUUAAUGGUGGCAAAUUGACCAUUUCUGGUGACAUGGGUGAUUAAAAAUUGUAGAGGGUGUCGUGAGGGAGAAAACUAAGCAGUAGUGUGCCACAAGUUCGACGAAAUCCCAUCGAAUCGAGGUGGUAGUACCAAAGCUCUUCACAUUCUUGAUUGGUGGUCUUUUAGCAGUUAUUUAGUGACCAUGAUGGUUGGGGAAUGACUAGCAUUGGUAAAGGAUUCGAUCGAUACCUUCUGUUGUCGAUAGAGUGGCCGAAGGAUUCGAUCGAUACCUUCUGUUGUCGAUAGAGUGGCCGAAAAUAGUAGUUAGCGGCGGGUGGGGUUUCAAGUCUAUCAGUUAGGUUGAUAGCUCUUCCUCUCUUUGUUUUUCUCUUCCCCUCGAUUCCGUGUCAUAACAAGUUUAAACUAGUCCAAACUCGAACCAUUUAACAAGCGUGUCAAAUUUAACAACCCACACAUUUAUUCAUGUUGAGUAAUUGAGUCGUGUCAAAUCUGCCAAUAACAAUUAUAAUAAUGACUUUUAAAACUUCAAGUCAAAGAGGAGGAUAAAAUAAUGCAUUUGAUUAAACAUAAAAUGCAUAUGUUACAACUAUUCACUAUUCAAAAUAUUAAGAGUGGAGUAGCAAAUGUCAAUUUAUUUGGUUGCAGUCAAAUUUAUCCUAUGAUAAAUAGUGAUUAUUAAAUAAUAUAUAGAUCUAUUAUAUAGUCAAUUAAUAAUAUAUAUUAAUGAAAAUUUAAAAAUAAAUUAUUUAAAAAAGUCAAACUAGGUAAUGGACUUAAAUGUGAAAAUUUAAAAUAAUUUGGAGUUAUGUGUUAAAAUAUUGAAACUUUGUCAUUUUUUAAUGUGCAAGCAAAUAAUAGGGACUAUAGACUUAAUAAACUAUUAAAUCCAUCUAAGCCACUAAGCUACGUUUAUGUUAAAUCUAAUGGUUAGUAAUAGCUAAUAAGAAAAGGACAAAAAUUGGGGUAUGAUGUUACAGGGACACCAUAGUCGGACCCAUUAUUAAUGUUUAGUACAAGUAUUUUCUGAAAUAACAACUACAUAAUUAUUAUCUUAUGUAUCUAAUGAGAUUAUUAAUUUAGUAUAUUGGCCCAAGUUAGGAAAGUAAGAUUUUGUUAUUUAAUCAAGUAUAUUAAUUUAUAAAACAUUCAUUUAUUGAGAUUUUAUUGUAUAUUACAUUUGCACACUUUCUUUUUAAUGUGAAGUAAAAACUAAUGUUACACAUGAACUUAUUGCUGACAACAUUAGUACAUAAUUGCUGUCAUAAGAAAAUUUAUCAAUCCAGGAAUUUUGGAUUUUAUAAAGUCUUUACAAGUGAAAAGAGUAGUUUAUAACAUUGUAAAUGUGACCUCGACCUGGAAGCGAACUCGGCUGUCAUAAAUUGAUCAAAGCCACACUUAACUUCUACUACUACUUGCAUUGUUACCACCGUCUUCAGCCUUCUGCUUUGCCCAUUCAAAAAAAAAAAAAAAUUAUAUAACUUUUGUCAGCCAACAAUUAUAAUAAACUAAAAACAUGUCCAAAGAUUCAAAAAAAAAUUUUUCCCUUUUUUUGGUUUUAGCUCCUCUGACAUAUCAAAUCCUAUUGCCGUGAAAAGUUUCCCUUGCAGCGCAUAAUUUUGCCACAGCAUCUCUCAUCUCCAUUCGCUCAGUUGGAGACUCCAUUGAGCAGGAAACCCCAAUUCCAAUUACAGCAGACAAGCAUUGCUCAGUCCUGACUCUUAUCUCUCCAUCAGUAUUUCUUGCAAUUUCCUCAGUUAGAAGUGAAGGCUCAACAAUAUUCACCACUUCUUCUGGCAAAGCCCUUUUGGCAAAUUCAUGGAGAGUUAAGCCAUCAUUGAACAUACUGUCCGUGGGCCGCUUUCCUGUGAACAUUUCUAGCAAAAGAAUUCCGAAGCUGUACACAUCACCUCGCAUGGAGACUUCGCCACCCGUACCGUACUCUGAAAAAAACAUGUUAGAUAUAUUACUCAGUUAGUUGCCACAUAUACGAGUUCUAACAAACAGCAGAUUAAUUCAAAAAAUGUAAAAUUACAAUAUCAAAAUAUCUAUCUAAAGAGGAAUAUAUAUAAUUGAGCUUGAUUGAGAUUGAGGAGCAGCACUUAGUGGACCAUCAGAUAGAAAUCGUGCUAGCCCAAAGUCACCCACAUGGGCAACCAUGUCAUGAUAAAAAAGAAUAUUGCUGGGCUUUAGAUCACCAUGAAUUAUUGGUGGUUGACUGUGGUGGUGGAGAUACUCGAUUGCAGAAGCUACAUCAAUGGCUAUGUCCAGUCUUUGAAUGAGACUUACAUUGCACGCUUCUAGGUGAUCAUUCCUCUGAUGCAACCACUCCUCUAGACUUCCGUUUUCCAUGUAUUCGUAAACGAGAGCCUUGAAAUCAGCUCCUUUAGAAUCAAUGCUUGAGAAAAUAGUGAUGAUUUUAAUGAGAUUUCGGUGGCGAAUAUUUCUCAAAGCUUCACAUUCUGCCACAAAACUCCUGAAACCCCCUUUCUGAUUAAGAUUAAUCACCUUCACAGCAACUACCAUUCCAUUUUCACUAAAAAUUCCCUUGUAAACAAUGCCAAAGCUUCCUUGACCAAUCAUGUUUGAUGUUGAAAAUUCAUUAGUUGCCUUCCUUAGCGCCGCGUACGAGACAAAUGGGAACUUUUGUUCUAUUAGCAACGAAUUAGAAUCUUUGUGUGCUGAUCUCCUUCUUCGAGCAUAAACAACAAGAAAGCAUGCUGAUAAGAUUAAACAUGACAUAAUGACUGGAAAUAUCACUUUGACUAGGAAAGUAACUUUUGAUUUUCUUGAUCCUUUCAAAGGACAUGAUGGUAAAUGCAAUUCAUCCAACCCUCCACAAAGAUUCUCAUUCCCAACCAGUGAAAUGCUUGUCUUAUUGUGAAAAACUCCUUUUGCUGGUACCUGGCCCUCAAAAUGAUUGUAAGAAAGAUUCAAAUAUUGCAAGAAUGGUAGAUUCUCAAGAUAUUCUGGAAUCUUGCCGGACAAAUUGUUACGGGAUAGAUCUAACACUUUCAAGCUUUUCAAGGAAAUCAGAGAAAGAGGAAAAAAAAAAAAAUUAUAUAACUUUUGUCAGCCAACAAUUAUAAUAAACUAAAAACAUGUCCAAAGAUUCAAAAAAAAAUUUUUCCCUUUUUUUGGUUUUAGCUCCUCUGACAUAUCAAAUCCUAUUGCCGUGAAAAGUUUCCCUUGCAGCGCAUAAUUUUGCCACAGCAUCUCUCAUCUCCAUUCGCUCAGUUGGAGACUCCAUUGAGCAGGAAACCCCAAUUCCAAUUACAGCAGACAAGCAUUGCUCAGUCCUGACUCUUAUCUCUCCAUCAGUAUUUCUUGCAAUUUCCUCAGUUAGAAGUGAAGGCUCAACAAUAUUCACCACUUCUUCUGGCAAAGCCCUUUUGGCAAAUUCAUGGAGAGUUAAGCCAUCAUUGAACAUACUGUCCGUGGGCCGCUUUCCUGUGAACAUUUCUAGCAAAAGAAUUCCGAAGCUGUACACAUCACCUCGCAUGGAGACUUCGCCACCCGUACCGUACUCUGAAAAAAACAUGUUAGAUAUAUUACUCAGUUAGUUGCCACAUAUACGAGUUCUAACAAACAGCACUUAGUGGACCAUCGGAUAAAAAUCGUGCUAGCCCAAAGUCACCCACAUGGGCAACCAUGUCAUGAUAAAAAAGAAUAUUGCUGGGCUUUAGAUCACCAUGAAUUAUUGGUGGUUGACUGUGGUGGUGGAGAUACUCGAUUGCAGAAGCUACAUCAAUGGCUAUGUCCAGUCUUUGAAUGAGACUUACAUUGCACGCUUCUAGGUGAUCAUUCCUCUGAUGCAACCACUCCUCUAGACUUCCGUUUUCCAUGUAUUCGUAAACGAGAGCCUUGAAAUCAGCUCCUUUAGAAUCAAUGCUUGAGCAAAUAGUGAUGAUUUUAAUGAGAUUCCGGUGGCGAAUAUUUCUCAAAGCUUCACAUUCUGCCACAAAACUCCUGAAACCCCCUUUCUGAUUAAGAUUAAUCACCUUCACAGCAACUACCAUUCCAUUUUCACUAAAAAUUCCCUUGUAAACAAUGCCAAAGCUUCCUUGACCAAUCAUGUUUGAUGUUGAAAAUUCAUUAGUUGCCUUCCUUAGCGCCGCGUACGAGACAAAUGGGAACUUUUGUUCUAUUAGCAACGAAUUAGAAUCUUUGUGUGCUGAUCUCCUUCUUCGAGCAUAAACAACAAGAAAGCAUGCUGAUAAGAUUAAACAUGACAUAAUGACUGGAAUUAUCACUUUGACUAGGAAAGUAACUUUUGAUUUUCUUGAUCCUUUCAAAGGACAUGAUGGUAAAUGCAAUUCAUCCAACCCUCCACAAAGAUUCUCAUUCCCAACCAGUGAAAUGCUUGUCUUAUUGUGAAAAACUCCUUUUGCUGGUACCUGGCCCUCAAAAUGAUUGUAAGAAAGAUCCAAAUAUUGCAAGAAUGGUAGAUUCUCAAGAUAUUCUGGAAUCUUGCCGGACAAAUUGUUACGGGAUAGAUCUAA